RNAcentral lists this unclassified non-coding RNA (347 nucleotides) under soil metagenome. Its description in RNAcentral is "partial contains 5.8S ribosomal RNA, internal transcribed spacer 2, and large subunit ribosomal RNA". The stretch from base 1 to 121 matches the Rfam family "5.8S ribosomal RNA", at positions 35 to 154 of the family's 154-position model. The record is from RNAcentral.
GAUGAAGAACGUAGCGAAAUGCGAUAAGUAAUGCGAAUUGCAGAAUUUCCGUGAGUCAUCGAAUCUUUGAACGCACAUUGCGCCCCCUGGUAUUCCGGGGGGCAUGCCUGUCCGAGCGUCAUUGCUGCCCUCAAGCACGGCUUGUGUGUUGGGCCCCGUCCUCCGAUCCCGGGGGACGGGCCCGAAAGGCAGCGGCGGCACCGCGUCCGGUCCUCGAGCGUAUGGGGCUUUGUCACCCGCUCUGUAGGCCCGGCCGGCGCUUGCCGAUCAACCCAAAUUUUUAUCCAGGUUGACCUCGGAUCAGGUAGGGAUACCCGCUGAACUUAAGCAUAUCAAUAAGCGGAGGA